GACGAACGCUGGCGGCGUGCUUAACACAUGCCAGUCGAACGGAAAGGCCCUGCUUGCAGGGUACUCGAGUGGCGAACGGGUGAGUAACACGUGGGUGAUCUGCCCUGCACUACGGGAUAAGCCUGGGAAACUGGGUCUAAUACCGGAUAGGAGCCAUUUUUAGUGUGAUGGUUGGAAAGUUUUUUCGGUGUAGGAUGAGCUCGCGGCCUAUCAGCUUGUUGGUGGGGUAAUGGCCUACCAAGGCGGCGACGGGUAGCCGGCCUGAGAGGGUGGACGGCCACAUUGGGACUGAGAUACGGCCCAGACUCCGACGGGAGGCAGCAGUGGGGAAUAUUGCACAAUGGGCGCAAGCCUGAUGCAGCGACGCCGCGUGGGGGAUGACGGCCUUCGGGUUGUAAACUCCUUUCGCUAGGGACGAAGCUUUUUGUGACGGUACCUAGAUAAGAAGCACCGGCUAACUACGUG
Molecule: ribosomal RNA, 465 nt
Filed under: uncultured bacterium
Lineage: Bacteria
Description: partial 16S ribosomal RNA
Rfam family: Bacterial small subunit ribosomal RNA
Source: RNAcentral